Astyanax mexicanus (Mexican tetra) is the source of this 1300-nucleotide long non-coding RNA. RefSeq lists it as uncharacterized. The record is from RefSeq and is a predicted model, not a curated record. The transcript has 2 exons. NCBI's taxonomy places the organism in Eukaryota, Metazoa, Chordata, Actinopteri, Characiformes, Acestrorhamphidae.
GGCUGCCAGAGCAGACGAUGCACUUAAAAUGCACCAGUACUUCUAGUGCUUUUAUGUCAACAUAACAUCUAGUUUAUCAAUGCUCUACUGCAUACGUAAGAAAGCACUUUGUUGUUAGUUGUUCCAGCUUUGUUCUCUUUUCUUAUCAAGUUAUAAAUAGCAAAAAUAACCGGUUUGGUCAGUUUGCACUGAGCUAAAGAACAGUACUGCUAUGAGGAAGCUGGCAGUAAUAUAUGUUGGGUUGGACACUGAUAUGACGUCAGGUCACUGGGAUAGAGUGCAGUGUGUUGUGAUUGUACCCAACAUUAGAUUUGAGGAUCUCAGCAGCACUGGAGUGCCAUCAAACACCAAUGAACAAAAUCCACAACGGAAUGAACUGGAAUCCAAUGGAUUUGGGAGCGAGAAAGAAUCUGAAAGAAUGUUCACAGGAGCAGGAAGAAUGCUGGAUUGGCCUGGAACAGCAGACUGCACAAAGCCCUACAAAACUUCUCCCACACAUGACUGUUCAGAGAGAGCAAUCAAAAGGAUUGCUGGACGAUUUCAACAAAAACAAUUCCCUAAAAAUUAGGUUACAGCUUUAUUGAUACUCCUGAGAACUACUGGAUAAAGUGUCGUUUGGAAGUCCUGAAGUGACUCUUCCUGUUUUUCCACCUGUCAACACACAACUAGGUCAGAGACUCAGAGGCCUAGGGAGUGUACAGAAUUGAUCUGGAAUAUAUGACAUCUACAUAUUCUAUGGACAUAUAACACUGGAGGUAGCCAAAAAUGGGUUCUGUCCGUUAUAUGAGAGAUAAUGAGAAGAUGUACUGUACCAACUGCACAGAAUGUGGAUAGCAAUACAUCUCUAAAACUCUAUGAACUCUCAUCAGCUUGUAAACAUUGGGAUGAUUGAGAUUAAAUGUGUGACUUUAUGGAAUCAUUCAUUUGAAACUUACUGUCAUAUGCUGUCUAAGCCGUUUUAGCUUUAUCACAUCAAUUUAACCUUUCUUUUUUUUUUACAACAGCAAAGAGAAACGCAUGUCAUGAAAUGAUCAAAUGUACAUUUCCAGAUUUUUGUUUUACAAACAAUGUUAUGAUGUCAUACUGUGUAUGUAAUAUUAAGUCAUACUGAUGUGCCUAAAGUCGUACUGAAAUGUUCCUAAAAACAAACUUUGCAGUCUAUCUAGGCAUUUUCUGCCAUCUUUGCACUCCCAGUCAAACUGUCUGAUUCUGUUGUUUGUAUAAUGAAUGAAAUCAAAUGAAUAAAAGUAAUAUAUUGACAAAUGCAGUUGAAACCUUAAAUAAACUUUUUUUAAGUAUA